UUCGAAAAGAUUCAAUUUGGCCCGUUACGCUCAUUUCCUUAAUACGCCAUUAAAUUACGCGGUCCAUUACGUCUUCACCUUGGGGAAAAUUUUCAUGUAGAUGACUCGAUUUUUCAUAUUAUAUUUUUUAAUAAAAAUGAUUGUCACGACAAGGUCGUUCUCAUUCCAACCCAUUAAUUAUCUGCUUUUUUUUUCUUGCAGUGUUCGGAGUGUUAUGCACAAAUAUUUGGAGAAGAAAAAUGAAGUGAACUUCGAUAAGAUCUUCCACCAACAGUUAGGGUACUUAUUAUUUAAGGACUUUUGUGAAAACGUAUCCGAAGUGCCGGUUCCUGAAUUACGGUUUUACGAAGAG
Molecule: long non-coding RNA, 352 nt
Organism: Photinus pyralis (common eastern firefly)
Lineage: Eukaryota; Metazoa; Arthropoda; Insecta; Coleoptera; Lampyridae
Exons: 2
Source: RefSeq, a predicted model, not a curated record